RNAcentral lists this long non-coding RNA (611 nucleotides) under Rattus norvegicus (Norway rat). Its description in RNAcentral is "long non-coding RNA NONRATT001563". The record is from RNAcentral. Lineage: Eukaryota; Metazoa; Chordata; Mammalia; Rodentia; Muridae.
CGCAGGCGACCGAGCGCUGAACUGAGGAAAGGUACUGUUGUCGCCGAGAGAAUCCCGACCCGGCUGCACGCGCGUGGCCAUGUGGAGGCUACUGACGCGCGCGCCCGCGCCGCUCUGGCGGAUGCACUUUUCAGAUACUUGGGCAGCCCUUCCCACCAGUGCUGGUCUGAAGACGCUCCUCCCAGUUCCAACUUUUGAAAGUAAGUACUUAUCAUUUCCACUUUUUUUCCCUCUGAUAAAAGACAUCGUAGGUGUGCUUGUGCUUCCUCCCUCCUGAGUGAUUCAACAGAUAUAUGUAAGGAAGGAGAACUGUGCUGCCAAGCAGUGUUCUGAUAAGCAUUAGAGGCAACGAAGUCCCUCGCUGUUGCAAAGCAAGUAACUAUUGGGCUAGUUCCCAGGCGUCCUACCACUGAUCUGUGUGGCCCAUGAUCUACCCAGUCCGCACUAACUGGGCAUUUAUUAGAUUUUUUAUCUUCGCUCAAUAAUAGUUCAUAUAUGCAGACAGUUAGCAAUAGUAACCAGGUGCACUGCAGUCCUGUAAAUCUAACUUUACUCUUUAAUACACUAAAAACUCCCAAAAUGCAAAUGACCUGGACAUCUGAGGGUCUUGU